RNAcentral lists this ribosomal RNA (515 nucleotides) under uncultured bacterium. RNAcentral's name for it is "partial 16S ribosomal RNA". It matches the Rfam family "Bacterial small subunit ribosomal RNA", at positions 28 to 523 of the family's 1533-position model. The record is from RNAcentral.
GAUGAACGCUGGCGGCGUGCCCAAUACAUGCAAGUCGAGCGAAUGGAUUAAGAGCUUGCUCUUAUGAAGUUAGCGGCGGACGGGUGAGUAACACGUGGGUAACCUGCCCAUAAGACUGGGAUAACUCCGGGAAACCGGGGCUAAUACCGGAUAACAUUUUGAACCGCAUGGUUCGAAAUUGAAAGGCGGCUUCGGCUGUCACUUAUGGAUGGACCCGCGUCGCAUUAGCUAGUUGGUGAGGUAACGGCUCACCAAGGCAACGAUGCGUAGCCCACCUGGGAGGGUGAUCGGCCACACUGGGACUGAGACACGGCCCAGACUCCUACGGGAGGCAGCAGUAGGGAAUCUUCCGCAAUGGACGAAAGUCUGACGGAGCAACGCCGCGUGAGUGAUGAAGGCUUUCGGGUCGUAAAACUCUGUUGUUAGGGAAGAACAAGUGCUAGUUGAAUAAGCUGGCACCUUGACGGUACCUAACCAGAAAGCCACGGCUAACUACGUGCCAGCCGCCGCAGUAA